UAAGGAAUAUUGGUCAAUGGACGCAAGUCUGAACCAGCCAUGCCGCGUGAAGGAUGAAGGUCCUCUGGAUUGUAAACUUCUUUUAUCUGGGACGAAAACGGGAUUUUUAUCUCAAUUGACGGUACCAGAGGAAUAAGCACCGGCUAACUCCGUGCCAGCAGCCGCGGUAAUACGGAGGGUGCGAGCGUUAUCCGGAUUUACUGGGUUUAAAGGGUGCGUAGGUGGGCUUAUAAGUCAGUGGUGAAAUCUCCGAGCUUAACUUGGAAACUGCCGUUGAUACUAUAGGUCUUGAAUUAUCUGGAGGUAAGCGGAAUAUGUCAUGUAGCGGUGAAAUGCUUAGAUAUGACAUAGAACACCAAUUGCGAAGGCAGCUUGCUACACAAUCAUUGACGCUGAGGCACGAAAGCGUGGGGAUCAAACA
RNAcentral lists this ribosomal RNA (421 nucleotides) under uncultured bacterium. RNAcentral's name for it is "bacterial SSU rRNA". It matches the Rfam family "Bacterial small subunit ribosomal RNA", at positions 355 to 774 of the family's 1533-position model. The record is from RNAcentral.